This 82-nucleotide transfer RNA is filed under the name Nannocystaceae bacterium. It matches the Rfam family "tRNA". From Rfam's summary of the family: Transfer RNA (tRNA) molecules are approximately 80 nucleotides in length. The record is from Rfam by way of RNAcentral. RNAcentral also lists the same sequence under 1 other name. Lineage: Bacteria; Pseudomonadati; Myxococcota; Nannocystales; Nannocystaceae.
GCGAGGGUGGCGAAAUUGGUAGACGCGCACGGUUCAGGUCCGUGUGUCGCAAGACGUGGGGGUUCGAGUCCCUUCCCUCGCA